Molecule: long non-coding RNA, 820 nt
Organism: Alosa alosa (allis shad)
Lineage: Eukaryota; Metazoa; Chordata; Actinopteri; Clupeiformes; Clupeidae
Exons: 5
Source: RefSeq, a predicted model, not a curated record
AAAAUGCCCGCCUCUGCAGUGCCAGCCUUUACAGCCUCUAAAGUGCCCUCCUCUGCAGUGCCUGCCUCUACAGGUUGUUCUACGUCUACACAGGUGGUACAACAAGUGCCUGCGGAUAUUGUCUUCCUUCUGGAUGGAUCUACGAGUGUGAAAGCAGACCAGUUCAUUCGCAUGAAGGAAUUUGUAAUUUUGUUAAUAGAAAAGGAUUUGAAAAACAGGUGGACAGUAUUGUCCAGAGGCAAGGAGGCACAAACACUGGAAAUGCUGUUGGGAAAGUUGUGAAAUAUAUGUUUCAUUCUUUUGCUGGAGCAAGACCUGGUGCCAAAAGGAUCCUCAUUAUCAUCACAGAUGGGCAAACCUAUGACUCUUCAACAUAUCCCAGUGUCACAGCAAAGGCUGAUGGAAAAAAGAUUACUAGAUACGCUAUUGGGGUUGGCAGUGCAUGGACCAGCCGGACGGCACGAAACCAGCUCAAUGCCAUUGCAUCCAAACCAGAAUCAGACCAUGUGUUUGAAGUGGACAACUUUGAUGCACUCAACAACAUCAGAAAGGCACUGGAGAAUCAACUCUUGAACAUACAAGGCAUGCCCACCGUUAAUCAAGAUGCUGGAGGUGUAGCUUGUGUCUUCCCUUUUGUCUAAUUGGGCACACUCCACUGGACAUGUACUAGAAUCAACCAUAACAAGCCUUGGUGUUCAACCACAGGCAACUUUGACCAGGAUGGGCAAGGGGGAGAAUGCUGCGUUGAAGCUGGGGAACACUUGGGUGUGUGAUGGUAAAUGUAUACUGUUUUAAUAAAAUAUGAACUUUGAAAACAGAA